Molecule: non-coding RNA, 101 nt
Organism: Podarcis lilfordi (Lilford's wall lizard)
Lineage: Eukaryota; Metazoa; Chordata; Lepidosauria; Squamata; Lacertidae
Source: the annotation of a GenBank genome assembly
GGCUUCCUCAACCUCGGCCCUCCAGAUGUUUUUGGCCUAGCUAGCAGGGAUGAUGGGAAUUGUUGUCUCAAAACAUCUGGAGGGCCGAGGUUGAGGAAGCC